UACGGAGGGGGCGAGCGUUAUUCGGAAUUAUUGGGCGUAAAGGGCGCGUAGGCGGCUUGAUGUGUCAAAGGUGAAAUCCCUCGGCUCAACUGAGGAACUGCCUUUGAAACUGUCUGGCUUGAGGCCGGGAGAGGGUAGCGGAAUUCCGAGUGUAGCGGUGAAAUGCGUAGAUACUGGGAGGAACACCGGUGGCGAAGGCGGCUACCUGGACCGGUUCUGACGCUGAUGCGCGAAAGCGUGGGUAGCAAACAGG
This 253-nucleotide ribosomal RNA is filed under the name uncultured bacterium. RNAcentral describes it as "partial 16S ribosomal RNA". It matches the Rfam family "Bacterial small subunit ribosomal RNA", at positions 524 to 776 of the family's 1533-position model. The record is from RNAcentral.